Molecule: ribosomal RNA, 638 nt
Filed under: uncultured Pseudomonadota bacterium
Lineage: Bacteria; Pseudomonadati; Pseudomonadota
Description: bacterial SSU rRNA
Rfam family: Bacterial small subunit ribosomal RNA
Source: RNAcentral
ACGAGUGGCGGACGGGUGAGUAAUGUCUGGGAAACUGCCUGAUGGAGGGGGAUAACUACUGGAAACGGUAGCUAAUACCGCAUAACGUCGCGAGACCAAAGAGGGGGACCUUCGGGCCUCUUGCCAUCGGAUGUGCCCAGAUGGGAUUAGCUAGUAGGUGGGGUAACGGCUCACCUAGGCGACGAUCCCUAGCUGGUCUGAGAGGAUGACCAGCCACACUGGAACUGAGACACGGUCCAGACUCCUACGGGAGGCAGCAGUGGGGAAUAUUGCACAAUGGGCGCAGGCCUGAUGCAGCCAUGCCGCGUGUAUGAAGAAGGCCUUCGGGUUGUAAAGUACUUUCAGCGGGGAGGAAGGUGCUGAGGUUAAUAACCUCAGCAAUUGACGUUACCCGCAGAAGAAGCACCGGCUAACUCCGUGCCAGCAGCCGCGGUAAUACGGAGGGUGCAAGCGUUAAUCGGAAUUACUGGGCGUAAAGCGCACGCAGGCGGUCUGUCAAGUCGGAUGUGAAAUCCCCGGGCUCAACCUGGGAACUGCAUUCGAAACUGGCAGGCUAGAGUCUUGUAGAGGGGGGUAGAAUUCCAGGUGUAGCGGUGAAAUGCGUAGAGAUCUGGAGGAAUACCGGUGGCGAAGGCGGC